Molecule: ribosomal RNA, 292 nt
Filed under: uncultured bacterium
Lineage: Bacteria
Description: partial 16S ribosomal RNA
Rfam family: Bacterial small subunit ribosomal RNA
Source: RNAcentral
GUGUCAGCAGCCGCGGUAAUACAGAGGUCCCGAGCGUUGUUCGGAUUUACUGGGCGUAAAGGGUGCGUAGGUGGUCGGGCGUGUCUGAUGUGAAAGCCCCGGGCCCAACCCGGGAACGGCAUCGGAAACUGCCUGGCUGGAGGGUUGGAGGGGGGACUGGAAUUCCCGGUGUAGCAGUGAAAUGCGUAGAUAUCGGGAGGAACGCCAGUGGCGAAGGCGAGUCCCUGGACAACACCUGACACUGAGGCACGAAAGCUAGGGGAGCAAACAGGAUUAGAAACCCCCGUAGUCC